This 252-nucleotide ribosomal RNA is filed under the name uncultured bacterium. RNAcentral's name for it is "partial 16S ribosomal RNA". It matches the Rfam family "Bacterial small subunit ribosomal RNA", at positions 524 to 776 of the family's 1533-position model. The record is from RNAcentral.
UACGUAGGUCCCGAGCGUUGUCCGGAUUUAUUGGGCGUAAAGCGAGCGCAGGUGGUUUAUUAAGUCUGGUGUAAAAGGCAGUGGCUCAACCAUUGUAUGCAUUGGAAACUGGUAGACUUGAGUGCAGGAGAGGAGAGUGGAAUUCCAUGUGUAGCGGUGAAAUGCGUAGAUAUAUGGAGGAACACCGGUGACGAAAGCGGCUCUCUGGCCUGUAACUGACACUGAGGCUCGAAAGCGUGGGGAGCAAACAGG